This 233-nucleotide ribosomal RNA is filed under the name uncultured bacterium. RNAcentral describes it as "partial 16S ribosomal RNA". It matches the Rfam family "Bacterial small subunit ribosomal RNA", at positions 118 to 351 of the family's 1533-position model. The record is from RNAcentral.
UGAGUAACCUGCCCUUAACUCUGGGAUAAGCCUGGGAAACUGGGUCUAAUACCGGAUAUGACUCCUCAUCGCAUGGUGGGGGGUGGAAAGCUUUUUGUGGUUUUGGAUGGACUCGCGGCCUAUCAGCUUGUUGGUGAGGUAAUGGCUCACCAAGGCUUCGACGGGUAGCCGGCCUGAGAGGGCGACCGGCCACACUGGGACUGAGACACGGCCCAGACUCCUACGGGAGGCAG